UACGUAGGUGGCAAGCGUUGUCCGGAUUUAUUGGGUUUAAAGGGUGCGUAGGCGGUCUUAUAAGUCAGUGCUGAAAUAUCCCGGCUUAACCGGGAGGGUGGCAUUGAUACUGUAGGACUUGAGUAGAGUUGAGGUUGGCGGAAUUGACGGUGUAGCGGUGAAAUGCUUAGAUAUCGUCAAGAACACCGAUAGUGAAGACAGCUAACUAAGCUCUAACUGACGCUGAGGCACGAAAAGUGUGGGGGAUCAAACAGG
This 255-nucleotide ribosomal RNA is filed under the name uncultured bacterium. RNAcentral's name for it is "partial 16S ribosomal RNA". It matches the Rfam family "Bacterial small subunit ribosomal RNA", at positions 524 to 776 of the family's 1533-position model. The record is from RNAcentral.